CCUACGGGAGGCAGCAGUGGGGAAUAUUGCACAAUGGGGGAAACCCUGAUGCAGCGACGCCGCGUGAGUGAAGAAGUAAUUCGUUAUGUAAAGCUCUAUCAGCAGGGAAGAAAAUGACGGUACCUGAGUAAGAAGCCCCGGCUAACUACGUGCCAGCAGCCGUGGUAAUACGUAGGGGGCAAGCGUUAUCCGGAUUUACUGGGGGUAAAGGGAGCGUAGACGGGAGUGCAAGUCUGGAGUGAAAGGCGGGGGCUCAACCCCCGGACUGCUCUGGAAACUGGAGGGCUGGAGUGCAGGAGAGGUAAGUGGAAUUCCUGGUGUAGCGGUGAAAUGCGUAGAUAUUAGGAAGAACACCGAUGGCGAAGGCAGCUUACUGGACUGUAACUGACGUUGAGGCUCGAAAGCGUGGGGAGCGAACAGGAUUAGAUACCCGAGUAGUC
This 440-nucleotide ribosomal RNA is filed under the name uncultured bacterium. Its description in RNAcentral is "partial 16S ribosomal RNA". It matches the Rfam family "Bacterial small subunit ribosomal RNA", at positions 338 to 795 of the family's 1533-position model. The record is from RNAcentral.